UCUACUCACGCGACGGUAGGGAUUUUUGAAGCAAAUCCGGAUGGAACGACAUCUUCCUGCACCACAUAAUCGAGAGCCGCCUUUAAAUUUUGCGCAAAGAUUGUGGCGUUGCUAUUGGGGAUAGAGCUGCAUCCGUAGGCUAAAAGAUUGGUCGAUCGUCUGUCUCUGCUCAUCUCUGCUCCCCUGACGGCAGCGGCUUCACGCGAGGCGUUCAUCAUCAAUGGCGGGAUUGUGGGAAAGAAUGGAGGGGUUCUAUUUAACCUGUAAAAUCCGCCUAUAUUUUCCCAUCCGGCUAGUAGAGGCAGGAGCUACGGGGGAAGCAGAAGCACCGGGAGCAGAGGCAGGGACGACAAUAGAGCAAUUGAUCCUGAAGAACCCAUUGAUUCGGAACCUCCAGAUCCAGACGACUGGUUUAGACUGAUGUCAUUUCACGUCCAGGUCCAGGGGUUUAGAGAUCUUGAACAGUUUUGGAUGCCAUAGCCCAAGGCUCGAAUCAGUUAAGGGUAUUGUUAAAUUUCGACAGCUCUAUUAUGUCUAAAGACGAAAUUUGGAAUAGCUCUUGAAUUUAAGGUAAGUCUGAAUUAUGCUUGUGUGAAUUUAUUUUCUCCAUUUAGUUUUAAAAAAUCAAUUCCUGUAUAAGUAAGAAGAAAGUCAGAUAGUAUAUCCUCGAGUCAAAUUAAGUUAUAUAUGUUAAGGGGUUUAUUUAAUAAAGCAGCUGCUUUGGUGCCCUGGUUUUCUGUAUCGAACCAUGAAGAUAAGGCUUUGAAAUGUGAACUCGUGAUGUUUGAAGUUAUUUGGGAAUGGAAGAUGUUACUGUAUAAAGCAUCUGCAACGUAUAUGUAGAAUUAAAUCAACAAGCCCUCAAGGAUGAGUUAAAGCCCUUUGGGCAUCAUAAAGAGAUUUGGGACAAAUGGUUAACAUUUGUUUAAAGUUGUGUACAAGUAAACAAAUCUUUGAGGACAUUGAGUCAUACUAUGUCUAAACUGUAACCUUGCAUUGAGGACGUAAUCCUUGCUUGUGGAAUAUGCCAAUAUGAAAUCUAACUAGCAGUUAUUGUCGA
This is a long non-coding RNA of Cryptomeria japonica (Japanese cedar), 1060 nucleotides long. RefSeq lists it as uncharacterized. Lineage: Eukaryota; Viridiplantae; Streptophyta; Pinopsida; Cupressales; Cupressaceae. The record is from RefSeq and is a predicted model, not a curated record. The transcript has 2 exons.